AGUGAACGCUGGCGGUAGGCCUAACACAUGCAAGUCGAACGGCAGCACAGUAAGAGCUUGCUCUUACGGGUGGCGAGUGGCGGACGGGUGAGGAAUACAUCGGAAUCUACUUUUUCGUGGGGGAUAACGUAGGGAAACUUAUGCUAAUACCGCAUACGACCUACGGGUGAAAGCAGGGGAUCUUCGGACCUUGCGCGAUUGAAUGAGCCGAUGUCGGAUUAGCUAGUUGGCGGGGUAAAGGCCCACCAAGGCGACGAUCCGUAGCUGGUCUGAGAGGAUGAUAAGCCACACUGGAACUGAGACACGGUCCAGACUCCUACGGGAGGCAGCAGUGGGGAAUAUUGGACAAUGGGCGCAAGCCUGAUCCAGCCAUACCGCGUGGGUGAAGAAGGCCUUCGGGUUGUAAAGCCCUUUUGUUGGGAAAGAAAAGCAGCAGGUUAAUACCCCGCGGUUCUGACGGUACCCAAAGAAUAAGCACCGGCUAACUUCGUG
Molecule: ribosomal RNA, 492 nt
Filed under: uncultured bacterium
Lineage: Bacteria
Description: partial 16S ribosomal RNA
Rfam family: Bacterial small subunit ribosomal RNA
Source: RNAcentral